CUGGUCUCAAACUGAGCUCAAGUGAUCUGCCCACCUCAGCCUCCCAAAGUGUUGAGAUUACAGGCAGGAGCCAUCGCGCCUGGCCUGCCAGGGAAAAUUCUAAGAGUGGCGUGUGGAGGAGACCAAGCAGUGGUGGUCUACCUAACCAAUGGACAGCCUUCCAUCGAGCGGUUCCCCAUCAGCUUUAAAACCUACUUCUCAGGAAACUACUUUCACCAUGUUGUGCUGGGGAUUUACUGCAAUGGCCGCUAUGGCUCACUGGGCAUGAGCCGCAGGGCUGAGCUGAUGGACAAGCCAUUGACUUUUCGGACUCUGAGUGACCUCAUCUUUGACUUUGAGGACUCCUACAAGAAAUACCUGCACACAGUCAAGAAGGUCAAGAUUGGGCUGUACGUCCCCCAUGAGCCUCAUAGCUUCCAGCCCAUUGAGUGGAAGCAGCUGGUCCUCAACGUCUCAAAGAUGCUGAGGGCUGACAU
This 476-nucleotide small RNA is filed under the name Pongo abelii (Sumatran orangutan). Its description in RNAcentral is "processed transcript". The record is from RNAcentral. Lineage: Eukaryota; Metazoa; Chordata; Mammalia; Primates; Hominidae.